UACAUUUCCCAUUAUUCAUUACUGAUAUGAGGCAGACAAAGCACUUACUCAUCAAACCAAAGGCUAAUUACAGCUCAGCAGUGUAAAGGGUGUAACAGUAUGACGUUAACUGUUUGUGUUUCGCUGUUGUGAAAUAUUCCUAAUAAAUGGAUUGGCCAUGUAAGCCACUUAGAACUAUAUUCUAAGUGAUGGCUUACCUGGCCAUGGCAGGUGUUUGUAAAGAGAUAUAUGUCUGUAUGUAUACAUUUCGUGUUCCACACAUUUCGACAGCCA
This is a non-coding RNA of Pelobates cultripes (western spadefoot toad), 273 nucleotides long. Lineage: Eukaryota; Metazoa; Chordata; Amphibia; Anura; Pelobatidae. The record is from the annotation of a GenBank genome assembly.